RNAcentral lists this ribosomal RNA (739 nucleotides) under Pleostigma alpinum. Its description in RNAcentral is "SSU rRNA". It matches the Rfam family "Eukaryotic small subunit ribosomal RNA", at positions 66 to 818 of the family's 1831-position model. Lineage: Eukaryota; Fungi; Ascomycota; Eurotiomycetes; Pleostigmataceae. The record is from RNAcentral.
UAAGCAACUAUACUGUGAAACUGCGAAUGGCUCAUUAAAUCAGUUAUCGUUUAUUUGAUAGUACCUUUACCUGGAUAACCGUGGUAAUUCUAGAGCUAAUACAUGCUAAAAACCUCGACUUCGGAAGGGGUGUAUUUAUUAGAUAAAAAACCAAUGCCCUUCGGGGCUCCUUGGUGAAUCAUAAUAACUUAACGAAUCGCAUGGCCUUGCGCCGGCGAUGGUUCAUUCAAAUUUCUGCCCUAUCAACUUUCGAUGGUAAGAUAGAGGCUUACCAUGGUCUUAACGGGUAACGGGGAAUUAGGGUUCUAUUCCGGAGAGGGAGCCUGAGAAACGGCUACCACAUCCAAGGAAGGCAGCAGGCGCGCAAAUUACCCAAUCCCGACACGGGGAGGUAGUGACAAUAAAUACUGAUACGGGGCUCUUUUGGGUCUCGUAAUUGGAAUGAGUACAAUCUAAAUCCCUUAACGAGGAACAAUUGGAGGGCAAGUCUGGUGCCAGCAGCCGCGGUAAUUCCAGCUCCAAUAGCGUAUAUUAAAGUUGUUGCCGUUAAAAAGCUCGUAGUUGAACCUUGGGCCUGGCUGACCUGUCCUCCUAAUCGAGCGCACGGGUUCGGUCGGGCCUUUCCUUCUAGGGAACCCCAUGCCCUUCACUGGGUGUGGUGGGGAACUAGGACUUUUACCUUGAAAAAAUUAGAGUGUUCAAAGCAGGCCUUUGCUCGAAUACAUUAGCAUGGAAUAUA